CCUACGGGAGGCUGCAGUGGGGAAUAUUGCACAAUGGUGGAAACCCUGAUGCAGCAACGCCGCGUGGGUGAGGGAGGGUUUCGGCACGUAAAGCCCUUUCAGCGAGGGAGAAGAAAGACGGUACCCGACCAGGAAGCCCCGACUAACUACGUGCCAGCCGCCGGGGUAAUACGGAGGGGGCGAGCGUUAUCCGGAAUUACUGGGUGUAAAGGGAUCGUAGACGGCGAGGUAAGCCUGAGGUGGAAGCCCGCGGCCCAACCGCGGAACUGCUUUGGGAACUGUGUUGCUGGAGUAUGGGAGGGGUAAGCGGAAUUCCUGGUGUAGCGGUGAAAUGCGUAGAUAUCAGGAGGAACACCGGUGGCGAAGGCGGCUUACUGGACCAUAACUGACGUUGAGGCUCGAAAGCGUGGGGAGCGAACAGGAUUAGAUACCCGAGUAGUC
This 441-nucleotide ribosomal RNA is filed under the name uncultured bacterium. RNAcentral describes it as "partial 16S ribosomal RNA". It matches the Rfam family "Bacterial small subunit ribosomal RNA", at positions 338 to 795 of the family's 1533-position model. The record is from RNAcentral.